RNAcentral lists this long non-coding RNA (767 nucleotides) under Mytilus galloprovincialis (Mediterranean mussel). Lineage: Eukaryota; Metazoa; Mollusca; Bivalvia; Mytilida; Mytilidae. The record is from RNAcentral.
AUAAAAAUAUUCAAGAAUAUCAAAACAUAACAUGUCCUAUUAAACUGGAAUGAAAAAUAAGGAAGACCUGCCUCCAUCAAAAUGAAAUGACUAUAAAUAAUUUGAUAUUAAAGAUUGUAAACCCAAAACAUGUCCUGUUGACUUAUAUUUCAUACUGUAUGUAUACCUUUCAAUUGAUACAAAUUCAGCAAGAGUUACUUCCCUUAUAAUACCAUUUUGGAGGUUUAAGUGCACAAACUCUUUUAAAGAAUCUUGCAUAAAUUAGUCAAAUUCAACUGUUAUACAGACCGCUAGACUUGAGUAAAAAAUAAAUUUCUGAACAAUUUAAAUUUUGUAUAGCCUUGCUUUCUUUUAAUUCAUCCCUAUCCCAUAAUAAGGAUCUCUUAUUAGACUUGGUUGUAUAGCAUGUAGCUGGUUCUCUCCAGCUUCCUCAACUUAUAAAAACUGCACGUGACUGCCACGAAAUAGCACAAUAGUGUUGAAAGUGGCUUUAAACGCCAAUCAAUCAAUCGAUGUAUGGCAUGUUGCAUUUUGGUUAGUCAAACAAGAAAUUAAACCAUCAAUCUGUCUAAAAUGGCGACCAAGGGAAACAACUUAAACAUGAAACUCAGAGUAUAUCAAUCGAAACCAAUCUAUUCAUAAAGAUGACCUGAUUGCAUAACCAUAGGUAUGAAUAUUGAAAUGAAAUAUAGGUUACUUUAGCUUAAUUUAACUUGCGUAUUUAUAUAACCUCUUUGGGUCAAGAUAGAAAACUAUGCACACAAUUG